This 253-nucleotide ribosomal RNA is filed under the name uncultured bacterium. RNAcentral's name for it is "partial 16S ribosomal RNA". It matches the Rfam family "Bacterial small subunit ribosomal RNA", at positions 524 to 776 of the family's 1533-position model. The record is from RNAcentral.
UACGUAGGGUGCGAGCGUUAAUCGGAAUUACUGGGCGUAAAGCGUGCGCAGGUGGUUGUGUAAGCCAGAUGUGAAAUCCCCUGGCUUAACCUGGGAAUGGCAUUUGGGACUGCACGGCUAGAGUGUGGCAGAGGGGGGUGGAAUUCCGCGUGUAGCAGUGAAAUGCGUAGAUAUGUGGAGGAAUACCGAUGGCGAAGGCAGCCCCCUGGGAUAACACUGACGCUCAUGCACGAAAGCGUGGGGAGCAAACAGG